GCGGCGGUGGCGCAACGGCGACGCAGCAGACUUAGGAUCUGUGGCCCGUGAAACGGCUUGAGGGUUCGAAUCCCUUCCGCCGCACCA
Molecule: transfer RNA, 87 nt
Filed under: Streptomyces venezuelae
Lineage: Bacteria; Bacillati; Actinomycetota; Actinomycetes; Kitasatosporales; Streptomycetaceae
Also listed under: 20 other names
Description: tRNA-Leu
Rfam family: tRNA
About the family: Transfer RNA (tRNA) molecules are approximately 80 nucleotides in length.
Source: RNAcentral